CAUUUCCACACAGAUUUGCAAUAGCUCCAGCUACCAUGCGAAGAGUUUGAGGAUCCUCAGCAUCAGCUGCUGUCAUAGAUAAUAAACUGAUCCCCCCUUGAGUCAUAAUAAGCUCUUGAUUAGCUUCAUUCAUCGCAAGAUUGGCAAUUGCACCUGCCGCAACUCUGCGAACAGUAUCAUCCUCAUAGCUUCUAAGAAGCAUCAGCAAGGAAGUAAGACCACCAGCUUCAACAAUCUUUUCCUGAUUUGCUUCUUCGGCUGCUAGGUUAGCUACCACUUUUACUGCAUGAAUUUGUGUAUUGGCAUCUUCAGACUCGAGCAAUGACAAAAUCUUUUGCAAUCCAACUUGUUCAAAAAGUGUGGCCAUUGGUGCCUUUUGCCCAUUUGCAGAGUCUUUAAACUGAGAAUGCCUCAUUUGAGAUGCAAAAGAAUCUAAACCAGCAAAAGCAUUUCCAGAUCCACCUCUGUCAAGAUGUCGUCUUGUCUGAUCAGCUUCAACAGUUAAUUGCAAUAACUGACUUUGUAGAAUCAAAAUAUCUUCUUCCAGUUUCUUAUUUUUAUGAGUCUCAUCUUCCAGCAUUCUGUGAACCUUUACAAUCUCCGCAUCUCCACCUGCCUGAUGCAUGAAAUAACCCAUUGUAUGUCACAAAUCCAAAGCUGAACUUUUCUUUUAUUUCUAGUUGGUUUGAGAAAUGGGUGGAGAAAGGUGGUGUUAGAAGAAAACAGAAUACAAAACUUGGAAAUUGGCAGAAGGCCAGACAGGAGAUCAUACUAAUACAGCACCCUCCAUAAUCUACAAAAAUCCAUACCAUAGAUUGCAUAAAAUUCUCUAACUGACUCUUAAGCUUCUUGACCUCUUCUUCGGCUGUCUUUCUUAGCUGAGUUUCAUUUUGAAGCAACUUUUUUAUCUCAGAAACUUCUUCAGAAGUAGAAGUACCCAGCACCUGGAAAAUAGUUAGGAAAUGGAAAAAAAUUUGUGGCCAUAUUGAAAACAUUUAAUGAGUCAAUGAUCAGAAGGCCAAACAAAAUAUGUCAAUAAGUGCAGAUACAUAAUGGAGAGAUGUUAACUGUAACACUAGGAAACCAGAACUUCACUGUGGUGAGACGGCUUAAUUUUAGGCAAAAUCACUUCUAUUCUAAAAUAAAAGUUAUGCACAAGCAAAAUCCACUAGAAAGUUUAGGAAAUGUAUGAGAUCACAUCUCUCAUAUCAAAAGUGUCCUGAAUCCAGAUAGUCAUCAACCACCCAAAAAAAAAGGGGGAAUUCCCAAAUGUAAGGGAUAUAACACGAUAAACGAGCUACAAAACAAUACCUCUCCAUUGCAUUUUUCAUUGAGGAAGCUAUCACGACCAUGCUUUUUCUGAUUGGCCACCAUCUUUUCCUCCAGCUUCUUCACUGAUUCGAUAUAUUCCAUCUGGCACUUUAGCCUCUCCUUCUGUAAGGCUUCUGCAAAGCUCCUUUCAACCUCAGUAAUACGAUUUUCUGCUUCUUGAUUUAUUCUUUCAACUUCGUCAUCAAAAGCUUUUUGCUGCCUUUCAUUCUCCACAAUAAGCUUGUCCACUUGUAUUUCAAGCUUUCUAGAUAAACUUUUGUAAUCAAACUCUUCCUUUAUUUUCAACAUGUUCUCCACCUUCAUAGCCCUUUGUCCAAACAAUACAGUGCUUGUAGUCUCUCCUCGGUGGCGUGGUGAAGGGCCAAUGGUUACAAUUAAUGAAGUUCUUGCUGUGCCUCCAAAUGAAUCUUUGAGCAACCGAGUAAGUUUUGAAUCACGAACUGGCACAUGAGCACUAUUCUCUGCAAGUGCAUUUAUGCACUUCCCUAAUGCACUAAGUGAGAGAUUGAUAGACUUAGCUUCUUCUAGCAUAUGCCCCUCACUUCCUGCCAAAAGAAAAAAGGAACGAAGAGAAGUCCACAGAACUUGUAAAUAGGAAAACUUUGAUCAACAAAACCACAUCAUGCCAUCAUAAAUGUCUAAGCUUGGAGAGAGAAAUGUAUAAGAAAAUUCAUAUUCUAAAGAGAUGCAUAUUUGGGCCCCAUAAGAGAUCCAUUUUAAAGUGUCAUAAAUUCUGAUAUACACCUGACUUGUGAACACGUUCUGACCCUGCCAAAUCUAUCAGAACCAGCUUGCUCUUCCGAACAAGUGGCUUCACAGGUUUGACCAAGUGAGAGGAAUUAUCAACUUCACUAGAGAAAGCGUCUUCUCCUCCUCCAACCGACCUUCUAACGUGAACCAUUAGAAUUGCAUGGCUACGAGAAGAUUCAGUAUUCAAUCUCGUAUUUGCAGCAAAGCGGUGUGCUUCUCCUAAACGUAAUAGUUCCACAAAACUCUGCUGAUCCCUAAUUUCAACUAUGCUAGCUCCUGGUAGUGAAACAUCUCCAGUUUUUGGGUCUUCCACAAUAGAAAUGUUAUCAUUAGUAGGAUCAAGGAGGUCCUGUAUAGUCUCCAUAUAUAACUGCAAAUAGGAGACGGAGACAGAAUCUGACUCCUGAGAAACAUCUGCUAAAAUAUCCUCCAUGGCACGGACCAUUAUUCCACGAGCAGCUGUAUCUUCUUCUCCAAGUCGUCCAAGAGUAUAUGUCUUACCAGUACCAGUCUGCCCAUAUGCCAUCACUGUCCCAUUGUAUCCAUCCAAAACACUCUCUACAACAGGCUUUGCUACAACCUCGUAAACACGUUUUUGCGAUGCAAACUCAGUGAGCACUUCAUCAAACUCAUAGGUAUCUGAGUCCCAGUUGUUUUUCCGAAGUUUCAACCUCUUAACCUCAGGCUGUAAUUCUACACAAUCAGCAAAAUCAGCAUCU
RNAcentral lists this unclassified non-coding RNA (2801 nucleotides) under Hevea brasiliensis (rubber tree). The record is from RNAcentral. Lineage: Eukaryota; Viridiplantae; Streptophyta; Magnoliopsida; Malpighiales; Euphorbiaceae.